AUUGAACGCUAGCGGGAUGCUUUACACAUGCAAGUCGAACGGCAGCGCGGACUUCGGUCUGGCGGCGAGUGGCGAACGGGUGAGUAAUGUAUCGGAACGUGCCCAGUAGCGGGGGAUAACUACGCGAAAGCGUAGCUAAUACCGCAUACGCCCUACGGGGGAAAGCAGGGGAUCGUAAGACCUUGCACUAUUGGAGCGGCCGAUAUCGGAUUAGCUAGUUGGUGAGGUAACGGCUCACCAAGGCGACGAUCCGUAGCUGGUUUGAGAGGACGACCAGCCACACUGGGACUGAGACACGGCCCAGAAUCCUACGGGAGGCAGCAGUGGGGAAUUUUGGACAAGGGGGGCAACCCUGAUCCAGCCAUCCCGCGUGUGCGAUGAAGGCCUUCGGGUUGUAAAGCACUUUUGGCAGGAAAGAAACGUCGCGGGCUAAUACCCCGUGGAACUGACGGUACCUGCAGAAUAAGCACCGGCUAACUACGU
RNAcentral lists this ribosomal RNA (483 nucleotides) under uncultured bacterium. RNAcentral describes it as "partial 16S ribosomal RNA". It matches the Rfam family "Bacterial small subunit ribosomal RNA", at positions 30 to 506 of the family's 1533-position model. The record is from RNAcentral.